RNAcentral lists this ribosomal RNA (274 nucleotides) under uncultured bacterium. RNAcentral describes it as "partial 16S ribosomal RNA". It matches the Rfam family "Bacterial small subunit ribosomal RNA", at positions 523 to 796 of the family's 1533-position model. The record is from RNAcentral.
AGACGGAGGGGGCUAGCGUUGUUCGGAAUUACUGGGCGUAAAGCGCGCGUAGGCCGAUUGAUCAGUCAGAGGUGAAAUCCCAGGGCUCAACCCUGGAACUGCCUCAUAAACUCCUGGUCUUGAGUUCGAGAGAGGUGAGUGGAAUUCCGAGUGUAGAGGUGAAAUUCGUAGAUAUUCGGAGGAACACCAGUGGCGAAGGCGGCUCACUGGCUCGAUACUGACGCUGAGGUACGAAAGUGUGGGGAGCAAACAGGAUUAGAAACCCCGGUAGUCC